RNAcentral lists this non-coding RNA (27 nucleotides) under Bombyx mori (domestic silkworm). Lineage: Eukaryota; Metazoa; Arthropoda; Insecta; Lepidoptera; Bombycidae. The record is from RNAcentral.
UGAAAUGAGAGUAUUAGAGGUCAGUGA